RNAcentral lists this long non-coding RNA (762 nucleotides) under Callithrix jacchus (white-tufted-ear marmoset). RNAcentral describes it as "lncRNA (ENSCJAG00000086380.1)". The record is from RNAcentral. Lineage: Eukaryota; Metazoa; Chordata; Mammalia; Primates; Cebidae.
UCUAGUGAGCAGAGCCUCCUCUAAAACCCAAUUCUUUCUACAUACUUUUUGCCUAAUGGAUAGAGCAACCUGCCAGGAAUUUGGAGGACUUAAAUAAACAUUGAAGAUACAAAAGCACACAAGGGAUGAUUUUAUUGUAAAGUCAUGUUGUCAUCAAAUGCUGUGAUUUCUUCCCUGGUGAGGGCAGUUUUCAGGCUACCACAGUUGCCUCUGGUCAUGUCAUGGGUGAGUUCUGGCCCUGACAGCUGAUGUUGUUUCCUGACUUUUGACUGAUGGGGAAUUAAAUGCCUGUUUUACCACGACAGGUUAUUGCUUUGUUGAUCAGGUUGGAGUGCAGUGGCCAAUCAUAGCUCACUGCAGGUUCAAACUCCUGGGCUCAAGGAAUUCUUCCACCUCAGCCUCCUGAGUCACUGAGACGACAGAAGUUACAUCAAGGGGGUGCCUUCCUCUGCUGUCUCCCCUUCUACGUCGUCCACCUUCUACAUCUCUGCUACCUCGGAGACAGCAAGGCCAACUCCUCAUCUUCUUCUCCUCCUCAGCCUACUCAAUAUGAAGACACUGAGGGAUGAAGACCUUUAUGAUGAUCCACUUCGACUUAAUAAAUACUGUGGAAUUGGGACGAAUCGCUGCACAGAGGGGCCUUGCCCAAGGCUACGCAGCUGGUGGAUGGAGAAAUCAGGCGCUUGCUGGCCGCCUGGCAGGCAGCUUUCCCUGCGAGGGAAGGAGGUGCCUCCGGCCUCUGAAGAGGUGGCUAUGGGAUAG